UGCAGUCGAGCGGACAGAAGGGAGCUUGCUCCCGGAUGUUAGCGGCGGACGGGUGAGUAACACGUGGGUAACCUGCCUGUAAGACUGGGAUAACUCCGGGAAACCGGAGCUAAUACCGGAUAGUUCCUUGAACCGCAUGGUUCAAGGAUGAAAGACGGUUUCGGCUGUCACUUACAGAUGGACCCGCGGCGCAUUAGCUAGUUGGUGGGGUAAUGGCUCACCAAGGCGACGAUGCGUAGCCGACCUGAGAGGGUGAUCGGCCACACUGGGACUGAGACACGGCCCAGACUCCUACGGGAGGCAGCAGUAGGGAAUCUUCCGCAAUGGACGAAAGUCUGACGGAGCAACGCCGCGUGAGUGAUGAAGGUUUUCGGAUCGUAAAGCUCUGUUGUUAGGGAAGAACAAGUGCGAGAGUAACUGCUCGCACCUUGACGGUACCUAACCAGAAAGCCACGGCUAACUACGUGCCAGCAGCCGCGGUAAUACGUAGGUGGCAAGCGUUGUCCGGAAUUAUUGGGCGUAAAGGGCUCGCAGGCGGUUUCUUAAGUCUGAUGUGAAAGCCCCCGGCUCAACCGGGGAGGGUCAUUGGAAACUGGGAAACUUGAGUGCAGAAGAGGAGAGUGGAAUUCCACGUGUAGCGGCGAAAUGCGUAGAGAUGUGGAGGAACACCAGUGGCGAAUGCCACUCUC
Molecule: ribosomal RNA, 689 nt
Filed under: Bacillus sp. (in: firmicutes)
Lineage: Bacteria; Bacillati; Bacillota; Bacilli; Caryophanales; Bacillaceae
Description: bacterial SSU rRNA
Rfam family: Bacterial small subunit ribosomal RNA
Source: RNAcentral